CGGGACGGGUGAGUAACGCGUGGAAAACCUGCCGUAUACUGGGGGAUAACACUUAGAAAUAGGUGCUAAUACCGCAUAAGCGCACAGCUUCGCAUGAAGUGGUGUGAAAAACUCUGGUGGUAUACGAUGGUUCCGCGUCUGAUUAGCUUGUUGGCGGGGUAAUGGCUCACCAAGGCGACGAUCAGUAGCCGGCCUGAGAGGGUGAACGGCCACAUUGGGACUGAGACACGGCCCAAACUCCUACGGGAGGCAGCAG
Molecule: ribosomal RNA, 256 nt
Filed under: uncultured bacterium
Lineage: Bacteria
Description: partial 16S ribosomal RNA
Rfam family: Bacterial small subunit ribosomal RNA
Source: RNAcentral